UUCUUGCAUGCUGAGCAAAAAUAGAGAUUUGUGAAACUUGGAAAAUUUCAAGCUUUCAAGAGAACAAGGUUCUUCUUCUUACUUUCUUUGGUAAGUGGCUUUGGUUAAUCUCUACCUUUCACCUUUCUUUUAUGAGUUAAAAAAUUUGUGUUAUAUGAUAUGCUAAUGAUGCUUUCUUGUAUGAACUUUUAUCCAGGUUGAUGUUUCCUACCAAUAUGGGUAUGUUUCUUAAACACUCUCUAAGAAAUUUUAACUAGAAAUUAUGUUUGAAUGAAAAUCAUAUAUACAUUUUUUCCUUAAUUUUUAUUUUCAUUUAGCAAGGAUUUUUUUAAAUUUGUUCUUCAAACUUGUGGUUUUUUCUUUUAUUUUUCUCCUAAUUUAUCUGUAAGUUCAAUGAUUAUUUUUAAUUGCAUUUCAUUUUUCUUUCCAUCUUUUCACUUUAAAACUUUUUAUUAUUUUUAAGAAAUGUUGUUGUCGGAGAUCCUCGGAGAUCCCACUUUUGUAUAAGUGGAGCGUAAAUCUUUCUUUACAAAUCGAUUUCUUGAUGUUAAAUUAGGUUUAAAAUUCAUUUUCAUCGACGUCUAUCUUAUAGUGAAUUAAUCGAAUCUAUAAUCUCAAUUACUAUUGAACACUCCUCUAUUCUCACACUUGAGAUGUCUAAUCUUCAACGUAGCGUGAUAUAUCUAACGAGAUCGUCGCUGUAAUUGGGAUUUCAGGAGAAAGAUAUCAAAUAUUUGAAGUUCCUUUUUUGUAUAUUAUAUGGAUGAUGAUUUUGUCCGUAAGGACCAUUAUUGAGAAUCUUUUUGAAUGAAAAUCAUAUAUACAUUUUUUUCUUAAUUUUUAUCUCCAUUUUCCAAG
This 858-nucleotide long non-coding RNA is filed under the name Phaseolus vulgaris (common bean). RNAcentral's name for it is "long non-coding RNA (PVUL_LNC002660)". Lineage: Eukaryota; Viridiplantae; Streptophyta; Magnoliopsida; Fabales; Fabaceae. The record is from RNAcentral.